RNAcentral lists this ribosomal RNA (537 nucleotides) under Trigonopterus sp. 919 AR-2022a. RNAcentral's name for it is "partial large subunit ribosomal RNA". It matches the Rfam family "Archaeal large subunit ribosomal RNA", at positions 1916 to 2694 of the family's 2987-position model. Lineage: Eukaryota; Metazoa; Arthropoda; Insecta; Coleoptera; Curculionidae. The record is from RNAcentral.
GGCUUAUUGAUAAUAAUUUUAGGUCUAACCUGCCCCCUGAGGAGUUAAAUGGCCGCGGUAUUUUGACCGUGCAAAGGUAGCAUAAUCAUUAGUUUUUUAAUUGAAAGCUGGAAUGAAGGGUUUGAUGAAAAAAGUUCUGUCUCUGUGAAAAUUUAUUAGAAUUUUAUUUUUAAGUAAAAAAGCUUAAAUAUAUAUAGAAGACGAGAAGACCCUAUAGAGUUUUAUAUAAGCUUGAGAGAUUAGGCUUUAAGAAUGUUGAAGUUUGUUUGUUAAAUUUAUAUUUGGUUGGGGUGAUAAAAAAAUUAAAAAAACUUUUUUUGUAUUUUAACAUUAAUUUAUGAGUAUUUGAUCCUGUAGUUUAGAUUAAAAGAUUAAAUUACCUUAGGGAUAACAGCGUAAUUUUUUUUAGAGUUCUUAUCGAAAGAAAAGAUUGCGACCUCGAUGUUGGAUUAAAAUUAAUUGUUGGUGUAGGAGCUAAUAUAUUAGGUCUGUUCGACCUUUGAAAUUUUACAUGAUCUGAGUUUAAACCGGUGUGAG